ACAAUAUAUGCAAUAUACGUUUGUGUAUUGGUGGGAUUUAAACUCCACUUGCACAGACAUUAAAGUAUCGAUCUAUUUAAAGAUACACAAUAUUUGUUAAGAUAAACGAUUGUAAAUAUGUAUUCUAAAAUAAUAAACGCUCUAAUCGUACCAAGGUCAACAUAAUGGACACUUCUACCGAGUUAAGGGAUAUAUAUACAAGGCAGCCUUUAGAAGAUUUAUUGCAGGAUGAUAGGGUAUUUCAUCUGUUGAUUGUGUCAACAAUAGGUGCAUGUUUGAUCAACUUGUUCAACAUUUAUGUGCCAUUGAUAGUACUAAAUUACGCUAUCUAUGUAAUGCUAAUUGCAUUUGGAUAUAAAAUUGGUUACGCAAUAUCCCAAUGUAAGAUCAAACAACACUCUGCUGAAAUAGAGGCCAGCUACAGUAAAAUAAAGGAAAUCCGCCGGUGCUUAGAUGAAACGACACGUGAGUAAAACUAUCGAAUUCAUUCGUCAUAACAA
This 500-nucleotide long non-coding RNA is filed under the name Mytilus galloprovincialis (Mediterranean mussel). The record is from RNAcentral. Lineage: Eukaryota; Metazoa; Mollusca; Bivalvia; Mytilida; Mytilidae.